RNAcentral lists this ribosomal RNA (133 nucleotides) under uncultured bacterium. Its description in RNAcentral is "partial 16S ribosomal RNA". The record is from RNAcentral.
AAAGGUAAUGUCAGGGCUGACCGCUAUUAACGAUCAACUUUCUUCCCAAUUGAAAGUGCUUUACAACCCUAAGGCCUUCUUCACACACGCGGCAUGGCUGCGUCAGGCUUUCGCCCAUUGCGCAAUAUUCCCC